RNAcentral lists this unclassified non-coding RNA (3914 nucleotides) under Hevea brasiliensis (rubber tree). The record is from RNAcentral. Lineage: Eukaryota; Viridiplantae; Streptophyta; Magnoliopsida; Malpighiales; Euphorbiaceae.
AUUUAUUUUUGCUGUCAGUUAGCUAAAAUUUCAUUAACUCAUAAAGGGUUUGAAUUUUCUCCGAUGAAGGCGGCAGAAUUUUUGAUGAGUGGGGCAAUCGAGUAACGUGAAAAGAGCGGAAAGGCUAGGUUGACCCAUGACGGUUGACUUUAGAAGUUCUAGUUGCCUUCCGAGAAUAAAAAGACUAAAGAGCCCCUGUUUUGAAGCGGGAAGCUGCCGUUUGUUUCCGUGUUUCAGUGUACUUGCUGUCUCUGAAACAAAACAUUAGCUCUUCCUUCCCUGAACCUCGUCUGCAAUUGUAAACUUCAAAUUAAAACACAAAUUCUUAAUCUCAAUCUCCUUAAUGCCGAAAAUAACCCUCGUUUCUUUCUUAAUUCACUUUUUCACCCUUUUCCUUUUCCUCCUCAGUCAUUCCAAGUCCCAGAGCUAUGAUCAGCAGGAACAAGCAAUCCUUCUAAGGCUAAGGCAAUACUGGCAAAAUCAACCUCCUCUUAAUCAAUGGAACCCAUCAAUCUCUUCCUCUCAUUGUACUUGGCCAGGAGUCAGCUGCACCAACAGCUACGUCUCUGGACUUGAUUUUUCCAACAUGAAUAUCGCCGGACAGAUCCCACCCUUCAUUUGUGACCUCGACAACCUGACCGUUCUUGAUUUUUUUAACAACAGCUUCAUUGGAAUGUUCCCUGUGGUUCUCUUUAAUUGUUCAAAGCUCCAGUACUUGAACCUCUCUCAAAACUUCUUCGUUGGCUUCAUUCCUGAUGAUAUUGACCGCUUCACCAGGCUCUCAUCCCUUAACCUUUCCGGCAACAACUUCACUGGUAACUUCCCAGCGGCCAUUGGGCGUUUGCAGCAGCUAAAAGAACUUCAGUUUGAUCAGAAUCUGUUUAACGGUACUUUCCCUCCUGAAAUUGGCAACUUGUCCAACCUUGAAAGGCUGUCUAUGGCUUACAACGGUUUUUUACCUUCGAGACUGCCUUCCAAUUUCACCCAGCUAAAGAAACUCAAGUGGUUCUGGAUUUCUGAAGCAAAUCUGAUUGGUGAGAUUCCAGAAACUAUCGGAGAUAUGGUGGCACUGGAGCACUUGGAUUUAGCAAGAAAUAGACUAACAGGGAGUAUUCCCAAGAGUUUGUUCAUGAUGAAGAACUUGAGUGUGCUGUAUCUUUUCAAGAACGAGCUAUCGGGGGAGAUCCCUCGUGCUGUUGAAGCUUUGAAUUUAGUUGAACUCGAUCUUUCAGAUAAUAAUUUGACAGGGACAAUACCUGAUGAUUUUGGAAAGCUUCGGAAAUUAUCACUUUUGAAGCUGUUCUACAAUCAAUUAUCAGGUGAAAUCCCGAACAGUAUUGGUCGUCUUCCAGCAUUGAUAUAUUUUAGCUUAUUUAGCAACAAUUUAUCAGGUGUUCUCCCUCCGGAACUGGGCCGAUAUUCAAAGCUUAAAACGGUUGAGGUUUCAUCCAACAGGCUCAUUGGGAGGCUGCCUGCAUUUUUAUGCAAUGGAGGACAUUUAGUAGGAGUUGCAGCCUUCGAUAACAAUCUCAAUGGGGAGUUGCCAGAAUCGCUUGGGAAUUGCAGUAGUUUGCUUAUAGUAAGUGUUUCACGUAAUGCAUUUAGUGGAAAUAUUCCUGUUGGUCUAUGGACAGCUUUCAAUUUGACAUAUCUGACGUUAAGCGAUAAUUUGUUCAUGGGUGAGCUUCCUAAUGAAGUAUCAGGGAAUCUUUCUAGGCUAGAGAUCAGUAACAACAAGUUUUCUGGUAAAAUUCCUACUGGAGCUUCUUGGAGGAAUCUUGUGGUUUUUAAUGCCAGUAACAACCUGUUUUCUGGCACAAUCCCUCAAGAAUUAACCGCUCUUUCUCGUCUUACUACUCUUUUGCUUGAUAGGAACCAACUCAGUGGAUCCCUUCCUUCUGAUAUAGUCUCAUGGAAGUCAUUAACUACUCUAAAUAUGAGCCGAAAUCAACUUUCUGGACAAAUCCCAGAGGAAUUCGGUUCUCUACCCAAUCUUCUCGAACUUGACUUUUCUGAGAACCAAUUUACAGGCCAAAUUCCACCUCAGUUUAACUCCCUGAGAUUUACUUUUCUCAAUCUCUCUUCCAAUCAUCUCACAGGGGAAAUCCCAAUAAGUUUAGAAAACGCUGCUUAUAAUAACAGCUUCUUGAAUAAUCCUGGUCUCUGUACCAGAAGUUCAUUGCUAAGCCUUAAUGUCUGCAAUUUCAGUACUCAAAAAUCAAGCGAAAAUUCAACCAAACCCAUAGCUCUGAUAUCAAGUGUUUUGGCAACAGUCUUUGCGUUGGCUUCGCUGCUCUCAUUCUUGGUGAUCAGAGUCUACCAAAAGAAAAAGCAAGCAUUAGAUUCAGAAUGGAAGCUUACCUCAUUUCAGAAGUUGGAUUUUACUGUAUCAGAUAUAUUGUCAGGGUUGACAGAAACCAAUCUAAUUGGGAGUGGAGGAUCAGGAAAAGUAUACCGUGUGGCUACGCAUCGAUCAAGUCUUGUUGUUGCUGUGAAAAGAAUUUGCAAUGACAAGAAGUUAGACGAAAAGCUUGAUAAACAGUUCCAUGCAGAAGUUCAGAUUCUGGGUAGAAUAAGGCAUUUGAACAUAGUGAAGUUGCUUUGUUAUAUUUGCAAUGACGAUUCAAAACUUCUUGUCUAUGAGUAUAUGGAGAGAAAAAGCUUGGACCAAUGGCUGCAUGUGAAAAAGAGAUCAACAAGUGUGUACUUAGACUGGCCUAUGAGGUUUCGGAUUGCAGUGGGAGCCGCCCAGGGCUUGUCCUACCUGCACCAUGACUGCUCACCCCCAAUCAUUCUUCGGGAUGUGAAAUCAAGCAAUAUCCUGCUAGAUUCAGCUUUCAAUGCAAAAAUUGCUGAUUUUGGUUUGGCAAGGCUAUUGGUUAAGAAAGGAGAAGCUACAGUUUCUGUUGUGGCUGGAUCUUUCGGCUAUAUAGCUCCAGGUAAGUGAUAUAAUUAUGGAUUUGUUUCCUUCCCCUUUUUUCCAUUACUAAAGAAUCAACUUAAAUUGCAGAGUAUGCUCAAACAGCAAGAAUGAACGAGAAAAUUGAUGUCUACAGCUUUGGGGUUGUCCUUUUAGAACUAACAACUGGGAAGGAGGCUAGUUUUGGAGAUGAGAAUACAUGCUUAGCAGACUGGGCAUGGCGUCACAUGAAUGAAGGAAGACCAAUAGUCGAUGCGUUGGAUAAGGAGAUCAUGGAAUCUUCUUACUUGCAUGAAAUGAGCAUUGUUUUCCAACUUGGGGUAAAGUGUACCAGCAAACUGCCUUCUGCUAGACCUUCCAUGAGAGAGGUCUUACAGGUUCUACUUCAUUACAGUCAUCCCCUUGUUUAUGGAGUGAAGGAUAUGGGAAGAGAUGGCGAUGCCAUUCCCUUCCUAUUGAAUUCAAAGCAUGGAUAUGCAUCAGACUCUGAUGAAAAUGUCUAAUCUCUGACUAUUGGUGCACUUGCAGCCAAACUGUAGUUUUUAGCAUAAAUAAGGUCACUUUCAACUAAGCAAUAGAAUGGUAUAGGAAAGGAAACAGUCAUAAUGCUGUGUGGUUUUAUCACGAUCUCCAUGAAAAUUGUACCUGCUAGUUUAUGUAGAAUGCGUAAAACACAAUGUCCAUGGAGGGAUAGAGAUUGAAUUGAAGGCACUCCCUGGCAUCCCAAGUAUAGUUCUCACCCUUCAACACACCAAGCUCCAGGAUGUAAAGAAAACAGAGUUCUUCUUGUGAUGCACAGAAGUCUCUCGUUAGCAAAUGUUAUCCCUGUACAUACUACUAUGAAAGUAAAUUUAGGAGUUUUUCGCACUCCAUUUGUCAAAGGCAAUACACUCAAACAUGAUUUGCAAAGGGUGGAAUGGGCUGCAGUUAGUAGAAUAGAGUGCAAAAAUCUCAACCUAUCUUUGCUGCUAGUGACCGCAAAAUCUACUUUUUA